AGUGGAGCCAGUGGGGCAGGCGCAGUGCCCCCCGCCCCGGGGGCAGCCCCGCCGGCACACAACGCGGCGCGGGCCCGGCGGUUCCGACCGCUGUCUAUAGCGCCCUAGCUCAGAUCUGACGAGCAAGUGUGACGGCGAAACAUACGUACCUCAAUGUGUAAUAUGUAACUAUACAUAUGUUACACCUGACUAUAUCCAUACUUUUCCUUUACUAUUUGUGUACAGUGUACAAAUGACGUCACGAUUUACACAACGUUUGACAUAAUAUAUAUGUCAAAGCGAAAAUGUCAUGUCAAAGUGGAAAUUUUUGACAUAAAUGUCAUGGCGUCUGAUUAUGCCGGUGUUAGACGCGUUUUCUUUCUGAAUGUAAAAUUUCUUGAUGGUGGCUUAAAAAGCUGAAGAAUUUUAUACACUAAUGAAGGAAAUGCAUUUAUGAUUAAAGAAUAAUAAUUUGGUUGUGAAUACAAAUUGGUGGUCUUUAGUUAAUGACGGUUAACGGUAGUGCACAAAUGAGUAGAUGUUAUUUUGAAAUCACAUAUAUUUUAUAUAAUUAUUUAAUUUGGAAGACCUCAUGGGAUAAUACUUUUUCGCUUUUUUUACGAGUUUUGGAUUCGGUUUAUAAAGUGAUUUUAGUUGAUAUUGUGUCGUGACGUCAUUUGACAUUAAUCUCAGUAAUAUUUUUGGUAAAAUUUUAAUUUAAUAUUAAAUGAAUUGCUAUUGAGAGGCUUUUUUUUCGGGAAUUCUAAAAUGUUUAAGAUAUUUAUUUUUCUAUAUUAUGUAAUGUUUAGAUUCUAUGCAAUUUUUAAAUCUUUAUUUGAGUAACAUAAGAACGGAUGUAGCUUGAUAAAUUAAGAAUUUGUAGUUACUUGAAAUAAUGAAUACAAUAAAUUAUUUUACUAAAGCAAAAAUUCCAUCUUUUUUGGCACAACGUGACAUUUAUCUUUCUUAUAGUGUUUCAAGUAACAAUAAAUUCUGUGUCUAAAUUUAAACUCCCAGAAGCUAACUCUUAAGGCUACACCAUUGCUAAGAGUUACAUAGAUCCUUGAAAGUGACAUGUUUGAAAAAUAUUGAAAUGUUUUCAAUACGUAUACUAUUACCUCGAUUUGACAGAUAAUAAAAAAAUUUCAACUUUUUUAAAAUGUAAACAAAAGAUGAUUAGUGCUCUGAUUUUUUUAAAUAUUUUAUCUAUAAUAACUGUAUUAAACCCUUUAAAAUGUUUAGGUUACAUGAUUAGUAAAACUGCAGUGCAAGACGGAAAAUUGUGCAAAAUGGAGGACAAAUUUGAUUUGACAGAUUUGAUUGUCUUAGUGCAUUUAUGUGUGUCAAUAAAUUCAAUAUAGUUUACUAUACGAUGGUUUACAUUGUUUCAAAUCGAUUCAUACUCUUUGACAUUAUUUGACAUUGGUUAAUCCGUGGUGUCAAAUCGAUUCAUACCGUUUGACAUUAUUUGACAUAAUCUCAGACACUUUGACAUGUAAUUUUAAAACCUAGAUCUCUUAGAUAGGACAUUCGCCUUCGCUAUCGUUAGGUAAGAACUGUUGAUCGGUUUGUGAGCUUCGUUUAAUAAUAAAUAAAAAUUAUUAAAAUGUAAAAAAUAUUACGAUUUUUUCGGUGCAUAUUGUAUCGGCGAGUUUUUGAACGUUUCUCAAUCCCAUGUGCUAAAAAUAUCAAUUAUGAGCCAAAUAAACUUAUUAAUCAUUUUUUAUGGCGUAAAACAGUUUCUGUAACUACUA
Molecule: long non-coding RNA, 1733 nt
Organism: Colias croceus (clouded yellow)
Lineage: Eukaryota; Metazoa; Arthropoda; Insecta; Lepidoptera; Pieridae
Exons: 2
Source: RefSeq, a predicted model, not a curated record